GGGGGUGACUUGGCUUCGACGUGGGUUGCAAAGCAGAGCAGGGCAUACCGAGGACCAGAUACCUCGUAAAUCCUCUGGAACCAAGAUAGUCGCAAACGACGAAACUUACGCUCUGGCCGCUUAAUCCGGCUGGACGCUGCACCGAAGAGCCUCUCGGUCGGGUGGGGUAAAACCCGCAGCAGCGUCAUUUAGAGAGGAUCGUGUCGUGUCGGGUUACUUGGCACGGCAUUAAAUCAAGGUAACUCGCCUUGCUUCAGCCUGUCGGUCGGCGGUUGCAAGGUUAAAUCAAUCGACCUGGCUAAGUAUGUAGAACUGCCUGUAGAGGGCUUGCGGACGGGGGUUCAAUUCCCCCCACCUCCACCA
This 363-nucleotide transfer-messenger RNA is filed under the name Methylobacillus sp. It matches the Rfam family "transfer-messenger RNA". Rfam says of the family: Bacterial tmRNA, also known as 10Sa RNA or SsrA, is named for its dual tRNA and mRNA-like properties. Lineage: Bacteria; Pseudomonadati; Pseudomonadota; Betaproteobacteria; Nitrosomonadales; Methylophilaceae. The record is from RNAcentral.